This 401-nucleotide unclassified non-coding RNA is filed under the name soil metagenome. RNAcentral describes it as "partial contains 5.8S ribosomal RNA, internal transcribed spacer 2, and large subunit ribosomal RNA". The stretch from base 1 to 121 matches the Rfam family "5.8S ribosomal RNA", at positions 35 to 154 of the family's 154-position model. The record is from RNAcentral.
GAUGAAGAACGUAGUGAAAUGCGAUAAGUAAUCUGAAUUGCAGAAUUCAGUGAAUCAUCGAAUCUUUGAACGCACCUUGCGCCCUUUGGCCAUUCCGAAGGGCAUGCCUGUUUGAGUAUCAUGAACACCUCAACUCUCAUGGCUCGCCAUGAUGAGCUUGGAUUUGGGGGUCUUGCUGGCCUGUGGUCGGCUCCUCUCAAAUGGAUCAGCUUGCCAGUGUUUGGUGGCAUCACAGGUGUGAUAACUAUCUGCGCUUGUGGUUUUCCAUCAGAUAACCUUCAGUGAUGGAGGUUCGCUGGAGCUCAUAAACGUCUCCCCUAAGCGGGGACAGCCCUUUGAAUGUUUGAUCUCAAAUCAGGUAGGACUACCCGCUGAACUUAAGCAUAUCAAUAAGCGGAGGA